RNAcentral lists this ribosomal RNA (253 nucleotides) under uncultured bacterium. RNAcentral describes it as "partial 16S ribosomal RNA". It matches the Rfam family "Bacterial small subunit ribosomal RNA", at positions 524 to 776 of the family's 1533-position model. The record is from RNAcentral.
UACGGGGGGGGCAAGCGUUGUUCGGAAUUACUGGGCGUAAAGGGCUCGUAGGCGGCCAACUAAGUCAGACGUGAAAUCCCCAGGCUCAACCUGGGAACUGCGUCUGAUACUGGAUGGCUUGAAUUCGGGAGAGGGAUGCGGAAUUCCAGGUGUAGCGGUGAAAUGCGUAGAUAUCUGGAGGAACACCGGUGGCGAAGGCGGCAUCCUGGACCGACACUGACACUGAGGAGCGAAAGCCAGGGGAGCAAACGGG